CAAAGGCUUGGUCCUAACUUUGCUGUCACCUAAAGCUAAAUUUACACAUGCAAGUAUCCGCAACCCCGUGAGGAUGCCCUUAACCCUCUUAUGAGAUCAAGGAGCAGGUAUCAGGCACACUACUGUAGCCCAUUACACCUUGCUUAGCCACACCCCCAAGGGAAUUCAGCAGUGAUAAACAUUAAGCCAUAAGUGCAAACUUGACUUAGUUAAAGCUAAGAGGGCCGGUAAAACUCGUGCCAGCCACCGCGGUUAUACGAGAGGCCCAAGAUGACAGAAACCGGCGUAAAGAGUGGUUAAGACAUAGAGUAAUUAAAGCUAAACCUCUUCAAGGCUGUUAUACGCAUCCGAAGAUAUGAAGGCCCUCUACGAAAGUGGCUUUAAUAUUUCUGAGUCCACGAAAGCUACGGAACAAACUGGGAUUAGAUACCCCACUAUGCAUAGCUGUAAACAUUGAUAACAACUUACCUACAUAUCCGCCCGGGAACUACAAGUACCAACUUGAAACCCAAAGGACUUGGCGGUGCUUUAGACCCACCUAGAGGAGCCUGUUCUAGAACUGAUAACCCCCGUUAAACCUCACCCUCCCUUGUUAUUUCCGCCUAUAUACCGCCGUCGUCAGCUUACCCUGUGAAGGUCUUAUAGUGAGCACAACUGGUACAACCUUAAACGUCAGGUCGAGGUGUAGUAGAUGAGAGGGGAAGCAAUGGGCUACAUUCGUCUACUGACGAACAACGAAUGGUUUAUUGAAAGCAUAAGCCUAAAGGAGGAUUUAGCAGUAAAAAGGAAAUAGAGUGUCCUUUUGAAACUGGUAGCAGUAAAAAGGAAAUAGAGUGUCCUUUUGAAACUGGCCCUGAAGCGCGCACACACCGCCCGUCACUCUCCCCUAGCUUAAAUCUUAUAAUAACUAAUACAACAACCUAUUAAAGGGGAGGCAAGUCGUAACAUGGUAAGUGUACCGGAAGGUGCACUUGGAAUACA
Molecule: ribosomal RNA, 981 nt
Filed under: Phyllopteryx taeniolatus (common seadragon)
Lineage: Eukaryota; Metazoa; Chordata; Actinopteri; Syngnathiformes; Syngnathidae
Description: 12S ribosomal RNA
Rfam family: Bacterial small subunit ribosomal RNA
Source: RNAcentral